GACGAACGCUGGCGGCGUGCUUAACACAUGCAAGUCGAACGGAAAGGCCCUGCUUUUGUGGGGUGCUCGAGUGGCGAACGGGUGAGAAACACGAGUGUAACCUGCCUUUGACUUUGGGAUAACUUCAGGAAACUGGGGAUAAUACCGGACAGGAGCUCCUGCCGCAUGGUGGGGGUUGGAAGGUUUCGGCGGUUGGGGAUGGACUCGCGGCUUAUCAGCUUGUUGGUGGGGUAGUGGCUUACCAAGGCUUUGACGGGUAGCCGGCCUGAGAGGGUGACCGGCCACAUUGGGACUGAGAUACGGCCCAGACUCCUACGGGAGGCAGCAGUGGGGAAUAUUGCACAAUGGGCGGAAGCCUGAUGCAGCAACGCCGCGUGCGGGAUGACGGCCUUCGGGUUGUAAACCGCUUUCGCCUGUGACGAAGCGUGAGUGACGGUAAUGGGUAAAGAAGCACCGGCUAACUACGUG
RNAcentral lists this ribosomal RNA (468 nucleotides) under uncultured bacterium. RNAcentral describes it as "partial 16S ribosomal RNA". It matches the Rfam family "Bacterial small subunit ribosomal RNA", at positions 28 to 507 of the family's 1533-position model. The record is from RNAcentral.